This 409-nucleotide ribosomal RNA is filed under the name uncultured soil bacterium. RNAcentral describes it as "partial 16S ribosomal RNA". It matches the Rfam family "Bacterial small subunit ribosomal RNA", at positions 970 to 1375 of the family's 1533-position model. The record is from RNAcentral.
CUUACCAGCGCUUGACAUGCCCGGACAAUUUCAGAGAUGGAUCUUUUCCCUUCGGGGACUGGAACAGGAGCGCUGCUUGGCUGUCCUCGUCUCGUGUCGUGAGAUGUUGGGUUAAGUCCCCCAACGAGCGUCCCCUCGCCUUUAGUUACCAUCAUUUAGGGGGGUACUCUAAAAGAGCCGGCGGCGAUAAGCAGGAAGGAGGGGGGGAUGACAACUCGUCCUGCCGGUCCUUACUCGGGGGGCUACACACGUGCUACAAUGGGAACUAAGGGGGGCAGCGACCCUGGGGGGGCGGAAUCCCAAAAAAAAGUUGUCUCAUUUCAGAUUGUUCUCUGCAACUCCCCAGCAAGAAGGGAGAAUCUAUAAUAAUCGCGGAUCAGCAUGCCGCGGGAAAAUAUUCCCCCGGAAA